GAAUACAGCAUGCAGGGUGAGCCGCCAAGCAAAAGGGAAAAUUAAAGGAAUCAGAAACAGAAAAAAAGUGGAACGACAAGAAUCAGUCAACACCUUUCAGUAUUAACUUGCAAUAUAACGAAGCACAAGGAGGAACCGUCUGAUUCCUUGGCUUUCCUGGAAAUGCCGGGAUUCUGUGGACCCAAUGUCUACACAGCAGCAGUGGCCUUCAGGAACCAGGAAGCAGUACAGAUCUUUGAAUCUGCUUUAGGCGUGUGCAGCCAUCCUCAGGACUGCCUCUGUCCUUCAGCCUCCAUCGCAGACUGCAUGCCAGGGGAGCCUUCCUUCAGGCUGCACAGCAGAGAGCAAGACAUGAGCUGGAUGGGCCUCCUGGGAAGACGUGUCAUCAGUGCUUCCCUCAAGCAGCUUGUCUGGAUUUUGUCAACGGAG
Molecule: long non-coding RNA, 429 nt
Organism: Heterocephalus glaber (naked mole-rat)
Lineage: Eukaryota; Metazoa; Chordata; Mammalia; Rodentia; Bathyergidae
Source: Ensembl